CCUACGGGAUGCAGCAGUGAGGAAUAUUGGUCAAUGGACGCAAGUCUGAACCAGCCAUGCCGCGUGCAGGAAGACGGCUCUAUGAGUUGUAAACUGCUUUUGUACGAGGGUAAACGCAGAUACGCGUAUCUGUCUGAAAGUAUCGUACGAAUAAGGAUCGGCUAACUCCGUGCCAGCAGCCGCGGUAAUACGGAGGAUUCAAGCGUUAUCCGGAUUUAUUGGGUUUAAAGGGUGCGUAGGCGGUCGGAUAAGUUAGAGGUGAAAUCCCGAGGCUCAACUUCGGAAUUGCCUCUGAUACUGUUCGGCGAGAGAGUAGUGGCGGUAGGCGGAAGGUAUGGUGUAGCGGUGAAAUGCUUAGAGAUCAUACAGAACACCGAUUGCGAAGGCAGCUUACCAAGCUACUUCUGACGUUGAGGCACGAAAGCGUGGGGAGCAAACAGGAUUAGAUACCCCAGUAGUC
This 460-nucleotide ribosomal RNA is filed under the name uncultured bacterium. Its description in RNAcentral is "partial 16S ribosomal RNA". It matches the Rfam family "Bacterial small subunit ribosomal RNA", at positions 338 to 795 of the family's 1533-position model. The record is from RNAcentral.